This 107-nucleotide ribosomal RNA is filed under the name Castor canadensis (American beaver). The record is from RNAcentral. Lineage: Eukaryota; Metazoa; Chordata; Mammalia; Rodentia; Castoridae.
GUGUAUGGCCAUACCACCCUGUACGUACCUGAUCUUUUCCAAUCUUGGAAGCUAAGCAGGGUUGGGCCUGGAUAUCACUUGGAAAGGAGAAUUUGCUGGUGUAGACU